GCGGCGAACGGGUGAGUAACACGUGGGUGAUCUGCCUUGCACUUCGGGAUAAGCCUGGGAAACUGGGUCUAAUACCGGAUAUGACCACGAACUGCAUGGUUUGUGGUGGAAAGAUUUAUCGGUGCGAGAUGGGCCCGCGGCCUAUCAGCUUGUUGGUGAGGUAACGGCCCACCAAGGCGACGACGGGUAGCCGACCUGAGAGGGUGACCGGCCACACUGGGACUGAGACACGGCCCAGACUCCUACGGGAGGCAGCAGUGGGGAAUAUUGCACAAUGGGCGAAAGCCUGAUGCAGCGACGCCGCGUGCGGGAUGACGGCCUUCGGGUUGUAAACCGCUUUUGACAGGGACGAAGCGCAAGUGACUGUACCUGUAGAAUAAGGACCGGCCAACUACGUGCCAGCAGCCGCGGUAAUACGUAGGGUCCGAGCGUUGUCCGGAAUUACUGGGCGUAAAGAGCUUGUAGGCGGUUCGUCGCGUCGUUUGUGAAAACUUGGGGCUCAACCUUAAGCUUGCAGGCGAUACGGGCGGACUAGAGUACUUCAGGGGAGACUGGAAUUCCUGGUGUAGCGGUGAAAUGCGCAGAUAUCAGGAGGAACACCGGUGGCGAAGGCGGGUCUCUGGGAAGUAACUGACGCUGAGAAGCGAAAGCAUGGGUAGCAAACAGGAUUAGAUACCCUGGUAGUCCAUGCCGUAAACGGUGGGUACUAGGUGUGGGGCUCCUUCCACGGACUCCGUGCCGUAGCUAACGCAUUAAGUACCCCGCCUGGGGAGUACGGCCGCAAGGCUAAAACUCAAAGAAAUUGACGGGGGCCCGCACAAGCGGCGGAGCAUGUGGAUUAAUUCGAUGCAACGCGAAGAACCUUACCUGGGUUUGACAUACACCGGAAACCUGCAGAGAUGUAGGCCCCCUUGUGGUCGGUGUACAGGUGGUGCAUGGCUGUCGUCAGCUCGUGUCGUGAGAUGUUGGGUUAAGUCCCGCAACGAGCGCAACCCUUAUCUUAUGUUGCCAGCGCGUAAUGGCGGGGACUCGUGAGAGACUGCCGGGGUCAACUCGGAGGAAGGUGGGGACGACGUCAAGUCAUCAUGCCCCUUAUGUCCAGGGCUUCACACAUGCUACAAUGGCCGGUACAGAGGGCUGCGAUACCGCGAGGUGGAGCGAAUCCCUUAAAGCCGGUCUCAGUUCGGAUCGGGGUCUGCAACUCGACCCCGUGAAGUUGGAGUCGCUAGUAAUCGCAGAUCAGCAACGCUGCGGUGAAUACGUUCCCGGGCCUUGUACACACCGCCCGUCACGUCAUGAAAGUCGGUAACAC
This 1312-nucleotide ribosomal RNA is filed under the name Nocardia sp. Its description in RNAcentral is "bacterial SSU rRNA". It matches the Rfam family "Bacterial small subunit ribosomal RNA", at positions 95 to 1420 of the family's 1533-position model. Lineage: Bacteria; Bacillati; Actinomycetota; Actinomycetes; Mycobacteriales; Nocardiaceae. The record is from RNAcentral.